CCUACGGGUGGCUGCAGUGGGGAAUAUUGGACAAUGGGCGAAAGCCUGAUCCAGCCAUGCCGCGUGUGUGAAGAAGGCCUUCGGGUUGUAAAGCACUUUCAGUGGGGAAGAAAGCCUUGGGGCUAAUACCCUCGAGGAAGGACAUCACCCACAGAAGAAGCACCGGCUAACUCCGUGCCAGCAGCCGCGGUAAUACGGAGGGUGCGAGCGUUAAUCGGAAUUACUGGGCGUAAAGCGCGCGUAGGCGGUCUGAUAAGCCGGUUGUGAAAGCCCCGGGCUCAACCUGGGAACGGCAUCCGGAACUGUCAGGCUUGAGUGCAGGAGAGGAAGGUAGAAUUCCCGGUGUAGCGGUGAAAUGCGUAGAGAUCGGGAGGAAUACCAGUGGCGAAGGCGGCCUUCUGGACUGACACUGACGCUGAGGUGCGAAAGCGUGGGUAGCAAACAGGAUUAGAUACCCGGGUAGUC
Molecule: ribosomal RNA, 465 nt
Filed under: Vreelandella stevensii
Lineage: Bacteria; Pseudomonadati; Pseudomonadota; Gammaproteobacteria; Oceanospirillales; Halomonadaceae
Description: partial 16S ribosomal RNA
Rfam family: Bacterial small subunit ribosomal RNA
Source: RNAcentral